UACGUAGGGGGCAAGCGUUAUCCGGAUUUACUGGGUGUAAAGGGGGCGCAGACGGCGAUGCAAGCCAGGAGUGAAAGCCCGGGGCCCAACCCCGGGACUGCCCCUGGAACUGCGUGGCUGGAGUGCAGGAGGGGCAGGCGGAAUUCCUGGUGUAGCGGUGAAAUGCGUAGAUAUCAGGAGGAACACCGGUGGCGAAGGCGGCCUGCUGGACUGCAACUGACGUUGAGGCCCGAAAGCGUGGGGAGCAAACAGG
This 253-nucleotide ribosomal RNA is filed under the name uncultured bacterium. RNAcentral describes it as "partial 16S ribosomal RNA". It matches the Rfam family "Bacterial small subunit ribosomal RNA", at positions 524 to 776 of the family's 1533-position model. The record is from RNAcentral.